Molecule: ribosomal RNA, 253 nt
Filed under: uncultured bacterium
Lineage: Bacteria
Description: partial 16S ribosomal RNA
Rfam family: Bacterial small subunit ribosomal RNA
Source: RNAcentral
GACGAACCGAGCGAACGUUAUUCGGAAUCACUGGGCUUAAAGGGCGCGUAGGCGGGUAUCCAAGUCUAUGGUGAAAUCCGGCAGCUUAACUGUCGAACUGCCGUGGAUACUGGGUACCUCGAGGGAGGUAGGGGCGUGCGGAACUAUUGGUGGAGCGGUGAAAUGCGUUGAUAUCAAUAGGAACUCCGGUGGCGAAGGCGGCACGCUGGACCUUUUCUGACGCUGAGGCGCGAAAGCCAGGGGAGCAAACGGG